GACGAACGCUGGCGGCGUGCUUAACACAUGCAAGUCGAGCGGAAAGGCCCUUCGGGGUACUCGAGCGGCGAACGGGUGAGUAACACGUGGGUAACCUGCCUCAGACUCUGGGAUAAACUCCGGGAAACCGGGGCUAAUACUGGAUAUGACCACUAACCGCAUGGUUUGGUGGUGGAAAGUUUUUCGUCUGAGAUGGCCCGCGGCCUAUCAGCUUGUUGGUGGGGUGAUGGCCUACCAAGGCGACGACGGGUAGGCCGGCCUGAGAGGGCGACCGGCCACACUGGGACUGAGACACGGCCCAGACUCCUACGGGAGGCAGCAGUGGGGAA
RNAcentral lists this ribosomal RNA (329 nucleotides) under uncultured bacterium. Its description in RNAcentral is "bacterial SSU rRNA". It matches the Rfam family "Bacterial small subunit ribosomal RNA", at positions 28 to 361 of the family's 1533-position model. The record is from RNAcentral.